CCUACGGGAGGCAGCAGUAGGGAAUAUUCGGCAAUGGGCGCAAGCCUGACCCAGCAACGCCGCGUGAAGGAAGAAGGCUUUCGGGUUGUAAACUUCUUUUCUCAGGGACGAAGAGAGUCACGGUUCAUGAGGUAUAAGCCACGGCUAACUACGCACCAGCAGCCGCGGUAAUACGUAGGGGGCAAGCGUUAUCCGGAUUUAUUGGGUGUAAAGGGCGUGUAGGCGGGGGCGCAAGUCAGAUGUGAAAACUCAGGGCUCAACCCUGAGACUGCAUUUGAAACUGUGUUUCUUGAGUGCUGGAGAGGGAGUCGGAAUUCCGGGUGUAGCGGUGAAAUGCGUAGAUAUACGGAGGAACACCAGUGGCGAAGGCGGAUUGCUGGACAGUAACUGACGCUGAGGCGCGAAAGCGUGGGGAGCAAACAGGAUUAGAUACCCGUGUAGUC
Molecule: ribosomal RNA, 443 nt
Filed under: uncultured bacterium
Lineage: Bacteria
Description: partial 16S ribosomal RNA
Rfam family: Bacterial small subunit ribosomal RNA
Source: RNAcentral